This 75-nucleotide transfer RNA is filed under the name Desulfuribacillus alkaliarsenatis. RNAcentral describes it as "tRNA-Gln". It matches the Rfam family "tRNA". From Rfam's summary of the family: Transfer RNA (tRNA) molecules are approximately 80 nucleotides in length. Their secondary structure includes four short double-helical elements and three loops (D, anti-codon, and T loops). Further hydrogen bonds mediate the characteristic L-shaped molecular structure. tRNAs have two regions of fundamental functional importance: the anti-codon, which is responsible for specific mRNA codon recognition, and the 3' end, to which the tRNAs corresponding amino acid is attached (by aminoacyl-tRNA synthetases). tRNAs cope with the degeneracy of the genetic code in two manners: having more than one tRNA (with a specific anti-codon) for a particular amino acid; and 'wobble' base-pairing, i.e. permitting non-standard base-pairing at the 3rd anti-codon position. The record is from RNAcentral. Lineage: Bacteria; Bacillati; Bacillota; Desulfuribacillia; Desulfuribacillales; Desulfuribacillaceae.
UGGGAAGUCGCCAAGUGGUAAGGCACCAGACUUUGACUCUGGUAUGCGUAGGUUCGAUCCCUACCUUCCCAGCCA